RNAcentral lists this ribosomal RNA (322 nucleotides) under uncultured Paracercomonas. Its description in RNAcentral is "SSU rRNA". The stretch from base 103 to 322 matches the Rfam family "Eukaryotic small subunit ribosomal RNA", at positions 734 to 955 of the family's 1831-position model. Lineage: Eukaryota; Cercozoa; Cercomonadida; Cercomonadidae. The record is from RNAcentral.
GAUUUCUGAGGCGAUGCGCCCGGCCCAUCCUAGCAAUAGGCGUGAGUGCUGGUGUGCGUCCCUCAUCCUUCUAGAGAACAGCACUACCCUUUACUGGGCCGGUGUUGCCAUCUAGAUCUUUUACUUUGAAAAAAUUAGAGUGUUUAAAGCAGUCUGGCGACAUGAAUAUUACAGCAUGGAAUAAUAAUUUAGGACUUCGGUUCUAUUUUGUUGGUUUCUAGGACUGAAGUAAUGAUUGAUAGGGAUAGUUGGGGGUGCUAGUAUUCAGCGGCCAGAGGUGAAAUUCUCGGAUUCGCUGAAGACUAACUUAUGCGAAAGCAUU